This 443-nucleotide ribosomal RNA is filed under the name uncultured bacterium. RNAcentral describes it as "SSU rRNA". It matches the Rfam family "Bacterial small subunit ribosomal RNA", at positions 26 to 518 of the family's 1533-position model. The record is from RNAcentral.
AGAACGAACGCUGGCGGCAGGCUUAACGCAUGCAAGUCGAACGCCCCGCAAGGGGAGUGGCAGACGGGUGAGUAACACGUGGGAACAUGCCCAAAGGUACGGAACAACUCCGGGAAACUGGAGCUAAUACCGUAUGUGUCCGUAAGGAGAAAGAUUUAUCGCCUUUGGAUUGGCCCGCGUCGGAUUAGCUAGUUGGUGGGGUAAAAGCCUACCAAGGCGACGAUCCGUAGCUGGUUUGAGAGAACGACCAGCCACACUGGGACUGAGACACGGCCCAGACUCCUACGGGAGGCAGCAGUGGGGAAUAUUGGACAAUGGGCGCAAGCCUGAUCCAGCCAUGCCGCGUGGAUGAUGAAGGCCUUAGGGUUGUAAAGUCCUUUCGGCGGGGAAGAUAAUGACGGUACCCGCAGAAGAAGCCCGGCUAACUUCGUGCCAGCAGCCGC